UGAUGACGAAGACAUAGAGAAGCA
RNAcentral lists this non-coding RNA (24 nucleotides) under Arabidopsis thaliana (thale cress). The record is from RNAcentral. Lineage: Eukaryota; Viridiplantae; Streptophyta; Magnoliopsida; Brassicales; Brassicaceae.